RNAcentral lists this ribosomal RNA (301 nucleotides) under uncultured bacterium. RNAcentral's name for it is "partial 16S ribosomal RNA". It matches the Rfam family "Bacterial small subunit ribosomal RNA", at positions 509 to 807 of the family's 1533-position model. The record is from RNAcentral.
CAGUCGCCGCGGGAAUACGUAGGUGGCAAGCGUUGUCCGGAAUUAUUGGGCGUAAAGCGCGCGCAGGUGGUUUAAUAAGUCUGAUGUGAAAGCCCACGGCUCGACCGUGGAGGGUCAUUGGAAACUGUUAAACUUGAGUGCAGGAGAGAAAAGUGGAAUUCCUAGUGUAGCGGUGAAAUGCGUAGAGAUUAGGAGGAACACCAGUGGCGAAGGCGGCUUUUUGGCCUGUAACUGACACUGAGGCGCGAAAGCGUGGGGAGCAAACAGGAUUAGAUACCCCCGUAGUCCCUGUCUCUUAUAC